AGGAAAUGACGGACAGUGACCAGGUGGAAAAUCAUCAUGGAAAAAAGUGAUGGGAAACAGGACAUGGGUCUGCAGCCAGCACCUUGCGCACGCUGUCACUCCCUAGUUUACCCUGACUGUUUAAUCUGCUGCUGUCCAGAGAGCAAACAGCACUAACGUGAGAGGAACACCGCAGAACUAAGAGUGAUGGAGUGAAGCAAACACAGUGAUGUCAUGAUGCAUACUGACUUUUUCAUCUGCGAUAUAUAUACAUGAACAUAAAAUAGCAUACUACUGUAAAUAUUGCUGAAAAUAGUAUGUUUUUACUUGAAUGUGUUGUAAACAUGACUGUUCUUUUUAAAAAGGUUUGCAUGAAACAGUACCUCAAAAAAUUUUGAGAAGCAAAUAAUCUGAAGCAGUUAUGUAAUGUGCUGAAUAAUUUUAUAUGAAAUAAAUGUGAA
Long non-coding RNA from Carassius auratus (goldfish), 440 nucleotides. RefSeq lists it as uncharacterized. NCBI's taxonomy places the organism in Eukaryota, Metazoa, Chordata, Actinopteri, Cypriniformes, Cyprinidae. The record is from RefSeq and is a predicted model, not a curated record. The transcript has 3 exons.